This 253-nucleotide ribosomal RNA is filed under the name uncultured bacterium. RNAcentral's name for it is "partial 16S ribosomal RNA". It matches the Rfam family "Bacterial small subunit ribosomal RNA", at positions 524 to 776 of the family's 1533-position model. The record is from RNAcentral.
UACAGAGGUCUCAAGCGUUGUUCGGAUUCAUUGGGCGUAAAGGGCGCGUAGGCGGCCCGGUAAGUCUGCUGUAAAAGUCAAAGGCUUAACCUUUGAAAGUCAGUGGAUACUGCCGGGCUAGAGUCCGGAAGAGGCGAGUGGAACUCCUGGUGUAGCGGUGGAAUGCGCAGAUAUCAGGAGGAACACCAAUGGCGAAGGCAGCACUCUGGGACGUGACUGACGCUGAGACGCGAAAGCGUGGGGAGCAAACAGG